Molecule: long non-coding RNA, 2608 nt
Organism: Oncorhynchus tshawytscha (Chinook salmon)
Lineage: Eukaryota; Metazoa; Chordata; Actinopteri; Salmoniformes; Salmonidae
Source: Ensembl
AAAGUGUUGGCACCUCUCUGUUGGCAGUCCAGUCCAGUAGAUGUCACUGCAGCCAAAGGAGCAGGAGACAAACUGACCCUCUGACCUUCCUAGAGCCCCCUGCCGUUUCACUCAUCAAGCCACUGAACCCUACAGGAGGAAUGAAAUCGGCGAUACAUCGAGGUGUGGGGAGAGGACAAUCUUCUCAGAGAAUCAUGGACUUUCCAGUCAUGGCACACAUCGUCUUGAAGAUGUACCUAUAGUAUCCUUUAUUGUUGGUUGCAAUUAAAGCAUCCCUGUGAAGUAAUGUAAAAUACGUUUGCCAUUCAAAAAUCUUUGGAAAGACGGGAUGGUCAACCAUUCACAAAAAAAUGACUAAGAGGAACUGGCUGGGUUUAUGGUAAGUAGCCCAAUAUUGAUCAGUUGUAUUUGGACAAUAAUGUGGCAUUUUAUCAAAUCAAUGGUGUUGAGAGACUCGUCAGGUGCCAUAAGUAAGUUCUUCAUUGUGUUCUCCACUCAUUUGUCCUAUGUGGUGGAGGUGGUGUAAAACGUUCACCCAAAACUAGUAGGUCUUCACCUGCGAGCACCUCAACACUGAUAAGUAGAAGCGCUUCAGUGCCACCAAGGAGACGACGUUUCUGCUGUACUUCCCAGAUAAAGGCCGCCAUCACCCAACGAUCCUCCUCGGCAGCCCAGCUAGGAGGUGCGAAGGAGGAGUAGAGAUCGUUGCGUAGCUGAGCAUGACACCGGACUAUACGGGCAUUCAGUUUCUACAGAAGCAUUUACCGUCCUGUGAAAGUUCACUUAGUGUUCACUCGUCUUGCCUGAACCACUCGUUUUAUCACAGGAGUAGAAGUGUCUUGAUUUACACAAAUAAAUUGUGUGUGUGGUUUUUAGAUCAGAUUGAAAUUCAAAGACGGUGGAAAUAGUGAGAUGUUGUGGAGAGACGAUACCUUUUUUUCCCCAAACACAGUCUUGACAUUCCAAAGUUCAUGAGCUAUUCAAGGCUAUAUUAGCUGUAUUUUCUAACUGUUUGACCUGAGUCAUACAGGACCCAUCAGGAAGGCGUGUGCUCCAUCCACUCAUUGUCUCAUGAGGGUUUUCAGUCCAGAGAUGGCGCUGCCAUAGAAGUACCUCUGUUGUUACACACUCUUGCCCUUGAUCAGCUGCAAAAGGCAGCAGACAGUGGAGCAGAUCAUUUUCCCCUGAGACAAUUUGGUGACCUCCCUCUGGAGUCCCAGCAGCGCUAUCAGAGAGAGUGGAGAGGAAAAUUGCUGGUUUGCAUCGCUGUUCUCUUACGGGAAGGAGGAAUUUCAAUGGGGUCAGCGUGGAGUCCCCAUGGAGACAGACGGCGGCCGGGUGGCUCGGACUCAGGAGGCGGUGAGACUCGACGCCCCUCUGAGUGGCGGAGCCGUGAUGGCUCUCAGUAUCUCUCGUCAUGUCCCUGGCAGCUUUGACACAGGUAAUAUGCAUGCAGUCUGACAGAGCCGGAGAUGUGCACCGGCGACAAUGAUGUACAUAUCAUUUUCCUCCCUGGCUGAUUGAAGACUGUAAUCUGUGCUGGACUUUUUCUCUGAUUACACACGUCUCUGUCUCGGGGAGCAAAACAAGGACUCUGAACUGCCGCUGGCAACCAGGCUCACCCUGGGCUUUCAGCCUUCGAGAGGACUGCACUCUGCCUCUAAGGGACCAAGGGAAUCAGCUGUUCUCCUGAGACACACCUCUGUGUUACCAUUGGACCCUGGUGAUCCAGUCCUAAUAGCAUAUCAAGCACCCGGCAGAGGGGAGCAGGUGAUGGCGUCCGCCAUAAGGAGGAUACUUUGGUGCUGUCCAACAAGCCGUCUGUUAUCAGAGGGAAAUGUGUCCGUUCAGAGGUGAGGGGGGGGGCUUUGUGCUCUCAACCAGGCCACCUCUCUGCCUUUGUCGUGGUAACAAGCUCAGCUCAGGCUCCAUUGAAGCGAGAAAUUGUAAACUCUCCAGAGAGGCCCAGUGGAGAGAUAAGGGUUUAGUGUUUGUUGGCUGUGUGCUUGGGGAUGAAUCAGAUAAGCUCGAGUCCCACGCCAGAAUGGGAGUGAUGAUACCUCCCCUUCUGUGGGGUGUUAUGUUUAAUCCCUUUGCCAGUGUAUUCACUUGCAAAUCCUCCUGUCACCAUUAAUAUGUAUUAACACUCCUCAGACAGUGUUCAAUACAGAUUUAUCAGACUCUUAUUUUCUUUCCUCUUGUUUGCACUGUCGUCUCACCCUCCUCUGUAACCGUGGAGCUUUCUUUUCAGUGCUAAUAUCGAGGCGACAUGCUUUUGCUGUGAGAGACCAGAUAUUACUGUGCACUCUCUCUCUCUCUAUGGGGUUUCUUUCAACAGUCCCUUCUUUCCUUUAAGUUCGGGUUUCUGUUCUGUAGAGGACUUAAACUCCGAACAUACUUCAUUGCAGUCCUGUGUGAAUAUGUGGGAUCCCUAAAUCUCUGAAAGUAUAGCAUUGACUCACUCAUCAAUGUUUGAUUUGUUGAUUAUAAGGCUCAGUCACUUCACACAGAGCUAAAAACCUGUCUUUUGUAUUCCUCUCGGGUUGAUCAAUUUCCACUGUGUAAUUAAGAAUAGCGGUGCAUUAAUCUAUUUGAUCCAAUACAAUAA